Molecule: small nuclear RNA, 213 nt
Organism: Rattus norvegicus (Norway rat)
Lineage: Eukaryota; Metazoa; Chordata; Mammalia; Rodentia; Muridae
Product: U2 spliceosomal RNA
Source: Ensembl
AUCGCUUCUCGGCCUUUUGGCUAAGAUCAAGUGUAGUAGCUAAGGAAGCAAGAAUAGUCAGGGCAUGCCAUAGCUUCUUCAUCUUUGUUGAGGGUGAAUAGCAAUAGGUAGUUUUCUCUGACCAUUGAAUAAGCGACUUAUACUUUAUUAAAGUAAAACUUUAAUCUCUUAGUCACCGGGUAUUUAUAGGUUUUUGAAUAAGCCCAAAUUUCA